RNAcentral lists this ribosomal RNA (253 nucleotides) under uncultured bacterium. RNAcentral's name for it is "partial 16S ribosomal RNA". It matches the Rfam family "Bacterial small subunit ribosomal RNA", at positions 524 to 776 of the family's 1533-position model. The record is from RNAcentral.
UACGGAGGAUGCAAGCGUUAUCCGGAAUGAUUGGGCGUAAAGCGUCCGCAGGUGGCUGUGUAAGUCUGCUGUCAAAGAGCAAAGCUCAACUUUGUAAAGGCAGUGGAAACUACACGGCUAGAGUGCGUUCGGGGCAGAGGGAAUUCCUGGUGUAGCGGUGAAAUGCGUAGAGAUCAGGAAGAAUACCGGUGGCGAAGGCGCUCUGCUAGGCCGCAACUGACACUGAGGGACGAAAGCUAGGGGAGCGAAUGGG